GUUUUCUCGCCCUCGCCUUGGAUCUCAUCUUGUCGGCUUGUAGAUUCCUCGCGUCCUCCUUGAGCUCAGAAGCAGCAGCAGCGCUAUCUUCAUCUCACGAGCAUUAUCACUUAUCUCUUUCCCUCCUCCUCCUCUCGCUCCGCAACAUCUCGGAUCUCCCCCCACCUCCCCUUCUUGAGCACUUGAGGAGGAAGAAGUGCUAUUUUCCAGGGACCUGCGGAAUCCGGCACGACGCUGGACACUGGAUCCUGGAUGGGGUCAAGGUCGCAGCCCUCGAACGCAAGGUGAUCACGAACAUUUCAUACACCCGAGCAAUGAGCGACGAUUUUAACGCGCGAAAACCUACUGUUAAAAAAGAAAAAAAGAAAAAAAAAGUGCAAUUGGGCAAAGCGUAUUCCUUUGCUAAAUAAAUUAUCAUUAUUAAUAAUAAUAUUAUAUAAUUAUUACUCAGGUCGGUCACACCUAGAAAAUCAAAUUAAAUGGAUGUUCUCCUGGGCAUAUCACUUUUACUGUUAACUGUUAUUGCCUAUUUUAUAGUAAAAUUAUAUGUAGCCAACAUGAUGUGAGCACACUGGCGAGUGCCUUAUAUUUAUAUAUAGCAGAACUAUUAACAUUAUUAAUUUAGGCGAGCUCUAUAAAUGGGUAAAAGGUGUGUUCAGUUUCAGUGUUACUAUUGAGAGCCACCAGACGGCCAGGAGCUCCCGCGUGCGUGCAUGUGUGUGAGAGAGCUAGUGUGUGUGUGUGUGUGUGUGUGUGUGUGUGUGUGUGAGGAGAAAAGAGUAGAAAUAGGCUACUGUAUGUAUGCGUGCACGCGUGGGAUCCGCAACGAGAACGUAUGCAUAUAAACGCUCUUGAAGCAAUGCACUUUAGCUCUUUUUUGGGUCUUUGGUCUAGAUUAGGUUUUGUAAAUUCGUGGCAGUUUAUGUGCAGGUAAAGCAAGCAUGGAAAGGCAAGGCAACCGAUUCGCUCAUGUAAGUAUGACUCUGCUGAAUUAUUUGUUAGGUAGCCUAUACGUGUUACAAAGUGUAUUAUAGACUGCUGUACAUCUAAAAUACAGUCCUGUUUGCAUGUGCACAAUCAUCGCAUUUUAAUGGGCACUGUAAGACUGUAGGCGUGCUGUCAGAAUCAAGCCUCAGCAGUGCAAUAGCAGGCUCAACAUCUGCAUUAUUUUCUGCAUUUGGCAUGUAAUAUCGGUCCUGUAGGACACAUUAAAAACAACGAGUUAAUAUGAUGCGGAAAGAUACUGUCCGAAUUUAGAAAGAUAGCGUUGCUUUGCUAACACAACUAGGAAAUGUGCAUUUGCAUUGUUUUGAUUUUUUGUUUGAUUAAAAACUAAAUAAUGCAUGCUGCUGUAAUGCAAUUGCAGAUCAUCAUUAUUAUUAUGAUUUCUGUCUUUGUUUUUGUUUUUUGUUUUUUGGAAUUCACAGUACGAGUUUUAGAUGAAGGAUAUUAACGCUUGUUAUUUAUAAUUUCUUUUUGCAAUCAGAUGACCAGUCUGCAAUAAAACGGACUUCAUUUUGUCACCAGAUCCCAUGGGAGCACACGGGCUCAUGCAGGUGUCUUUCAAGACAUUUAAAGCAGCCAUUAACAGUAAUGCAUACCCUCUAACACUGAGGGCUGUCAAUCUUUUUUCGUUGAAAUCAUUCCCGGCCGAUGCGCAAUUCAAUGUUAGCUAAUCACUUCUGCUUUUAUGAAGAUUAGAUUGAAGUAGACCGAGCUGUUGGUGUAUUAAAAACAAUAAAUAUGAUUAUAAACUCGUGCACAUAAACAUAUUGUGAGAUAUUUUUAAAUCCACUCUUUGUUCUCAAAUAAAUGCAACAGGCCGUAUGGAGCACGUAACCACAGGUUUAUGCGCGUAAUUAUCUUCUCUGAGAGUGAGAGGCUGGAUUGCCGCCUUUUAAAUUUUGUGCAAACAAACCCCGGAGCCUAUUUCAUUCAUAAACGAAAUAAUUCGCACUUUAUUUGGCACAUCUGAUUUUUGCUCAUUAAAGAGGUUCAGAUGGAUUAACAGGGCAAAAUGCUUGAAACAUUGAAACGUACAGAUACUGUACCUGCCGUUACCCGCUUUGAAGGAAGAAGUGAUCUUGUUACUAAGCCUCCCGCUGACAAAAGACAUUUAUUGGUUUAUUGACUGACUCCAUAUUACACGUUUAAUCGGUAAAACCUUCUCUUAUCAAGACACAUCCAAUAGAUAUAAACAUAUAAGGUCGUUAAACUGAAUACGUAAAAUAGAUAGAAAAAAUUCUGAGUUUAUUUCAUUGUGAAAAUUAAGACAGCGAAAGCUUUUUAUUAGUUACGCUUAAAUAAUAUUUCACCACAACAUUUACAGGGUAGGCCUGGCCUAUAGCAUAUAUUAAAAUGGUGACAUUUUUAAAUUAAUAUAGCCCUAUUUAAAAAAUAAAAAAAAAACAUCUGUUGAACAAAACAACGUGCCAGUUUUUGUUUUAAGUGAUAGCUUGCAAUUUCUCCAAUCCUCAUAAAGCAAUUCAAAUUAAAAUGUCUCUCACGCACUGGGCUGUACUUUUCUUUUUCUUUUCUUUUCUUUUUUUUCACAAGGAGCAACACCUUUGUUCAGGCAUUUAACUGUAAUUAAACUUGUAAAGAAAAGUGUUGCUCCUCAUCACUAGCUCAUUGGGGAAUAGUUUUCUGCGUCAUUUAAACGUCUGUCUUUUUACGAGCUCCUGGAAACGUGAUGGCUAUGUAACCACGCAUUUGGACUAUUUUCUUUCCAGAUUGUUGCCAUUUUCCUGUGGUUAAGCACAGGAAGGGAGGGAUGCUGGCCCGGAAGAGAGGUGUUCUGCAAACCAGGCCCCAGUAACAUCCACGGAGUUUUUGGUCCUCUCAAUUAAUCAGGGAAAGAAUUGAAGAGAUGAAAAGAGACGGAGUCCGGAGACUUCACGGGAACGCGCAUGUGAGGAUCGCCCGAGGCGAGCAGAGAAAAUUACCCCGCGCAGAAACGACCCUAAUAUGAUGUGAUCAAUCACUCUGUCCGGGGAACACCACACUCUCUUUACAUCACUAAUAUGUGCUCAUAUCGGCAAACUGCAAGAUGAUCAAAUCAUCAGUUUUCUGAUUGUCUUAUAGCAGGCGUGAAUUCUCAAAAUAGGAAAUCAUACAUGAUUUGUACAACAACAAUUGGAAACAAAAAAUAUAA
Long non-coding RNA from Carassius auratus (goldfish), 3154 nucleotides. RefSeq lists it as uncharacterized. The record is from RefSeq and is a predicted model, not a curated record. The transcript has 3 exons. NCBI's taxonomy places the organism in Eukaryota, Metazoa, Chordata, Actinopteri, Cypriniformes, Cyprinidae.